UACGUAGGGGGCAAGCGUUGUCCGGAUUUAUUGGGCGUAAAGAGCUCGUAGGCGGUUUGUCACGUCUGCUGUGAAAUCCCGAGGCUCAACCUCGGGCCUGCAGUGGGUACGGGCAGACUGGAGUGCGGUAGGGGAGAAUGGAAUUCCUGGUGUAGCGGUGGAAUGCGCAGAUAUCAGGAGGAACACCGAUGGCGAAGGCAGUUCUCUGGGCCGUAACUGACGCUGAGGAGCGAAAGCGUGGGGAGCGAACAGG
This 253-nucleotide ribosomal RNA is filed under the name uncultured bacterium. RNAcentral describes it as "partial 16S ribosomal RNA". It matches the Rfam family "Bacterial small subunit ribosomal RNA", at positions 524 to 776 of the family's 1533-position model. The record is from RNAcentral.